Molecule: ribosomal RNA, 397 nt
Filed under: uncultured bacterium
Lineage: Bacteria
Description: partial 16S ribosomal RNA
Rfam family: Bacterial small subunit ribosomal RNA
Source: RNAcentral
AUACGUAGGGGGCGAGCGUUGUCCGGAAUGAUUGGGCGUAAAGGGCGCGUAGGCGGCCCGGUAAGUCUGGAGUGAAAGUCCUGUUUUUAAGAUGGGAAUUGCUUUGGAUACUGUCGGGCUUGAGUGCAGGAUAGGUAAGUGGAAUUCCCAGUGUAGCGGUGAAAUGCGUAGAGAUUGGGAGGAACACCAGUGGCGAAGGCGACUUACUGGACUGUAACUGACGCUGAGGCGCGAAAGUGUGGGGAGCAAACAGGAUUAGAUACCCUGGUAGUCCACACUGUAAACGAUGAAUGCUAGGUGUAGGGGGUAUCGACCCCUUCUGUGCCGCAGUCAACACAAUAAGCAUUCCGCCUGGGGAGUACGGCCGCAAGGUUGAAACUCAAAUGAAUUGACGGGG